This 197-nucleotide ribosomal RNA is filed under the name uncultured bacterium. RNAcentral describes it as "partial 16S ribosomal RNA". It matches the Rfam family "Bacterial small subunit ribosomal RNA", at positions 328 to 539 of the family's 1533-position model. The record is from RNAcentral.
ACGCUCGACACCUACGGAGGCAGCAGUGGGGAAUAUUGCACAAUGGGGGAAACCCUGAUGCAGCGACGCCGCGUGAGCGAAGAAGUAUUUCGGUAUGUAAAGUUCUAUCAGCAGGGAAGAAACUGACGGUACCUGACUAAGAAGCACCGGCUAAAUACGUGGCAGCAGCCGCGGUAAUCUGAGCGGGCUGGCAAGGC